Long non-coding RNA from Triticum dicoccoides, 2625 nucleotides. RefSeq lists it as uncharacterized. NCBI's taxonomy places the organism in Eukaryota, Viridiplantae, Streptophyta, Magnoliopsida, Poales, Poaceae. The transcript is spliced from 5 exons. The record is from RefSeq and is a predicted model, not a curated record.
CAUCCAUCACGGCCACGUGGCCUGGGAUAACGGUUGAGGAAGACGGCCAUCAUUGCUGCCACACAGGCCCCAUCCGUCAUAGAAAGAAAAAUAAAAAAAUUGAAUAGAGGAAAAAAUAUUUUAUCUCCCCACGAGCCCACAGCCCAGCCACACAAAAGGAGAUCGGAUCGGGAGGCCAGUGCCUCGAUCCGCCGCCACGCACGGGAGCCUGGCAGCCGCAGCCGCCGGAGCUCCGACGAGCUGCUUCCCCGUGCCUUCUUAGUUCUCCUUCGUAUCCUUCUCCUCCUGUCAUCUUCCCCGAACACCUAGCCGCCAUGGCACACGGCCGCGCAUCAACUCCGGCGCCGCCGCGGUCGCGGGAGCUCCUAGCCCGAUGCCCCUGGUCGACCUCUCCAAAGCAACACCAGCAGCGCCGCCGGCUCCUGCGGCCCGCAGCGGCGACUGGCAAGGAGGUCACGGCUGGAGGCCAUGGCAUCCAUGGCGGGGCUCGCCGGAGCGGGCUGUGUCGCGGAUGAGGUUGCAGGAGGUGAUGGCGGCUCACGGCGCCCGCGUCCGUGAGUCCGGCAACGAGCUCCGGCGGCUGGAAGAAUGCGCCCGCCUGCCGGCGAGGCUCCUUGUGGUGCUGCCAUCGUCGAUGGAGCGCGCACGAGGAGACCGGCCAUCGACGAGGAGCGCGCCGCGGGCAGGCUGGAGCAUGACCGGAAGCUCUUGGGCGGCGGCGGUCUUCGGCACCGUCCACGCUACGAGCUGCGGCGGUGGCCGGGAUGGCAACCGGAUCGAGCAGAGGAGGGCUCAGGCGAGACGAGCAAGGAGGAAAAGGAGGGUCAGCGGUGGGGCAGUGCUCCGGUGGCGAGCUCGCUGGCGGGAGCAGCUCCGGCGGUGGAGUACGCUGCGAGCGAGCAUGUGCGGUGGUGGACAUGAUGCACACAACAUGCUCGAUAAAAUGUGCAGGUGAAGUGUAGAUGCUGACGGGUGGUCCCUUUUUGUUAACUUAACGUUCGAGCAGAUGCCGUUAGAUUUUGGUGCCACGUCAGCCUUCACAGCGGGCCCAACCUGUCAUAUUUUGCAUCAAACGGCUCUUAAUCAAACAUUUGGUGCUUUCAGCAAAGAAUUACUCAAAAUCAGUGUUUUCGGUAAACUUUUAUGAAAAUGGUGGUUUUUGGCAUUACGCGACGCAAUUGUGGUGGUUUUUGGCAAUUUACUCCCGAACCAACGCGCCUCCUCCUCCUCCGCCGCCGCCGCGCGCCUCCUGCGCCGCCUUCUCUCCCGCUCGCUCCCGGCACCGGUGCUCUUCCCUCUCCCCGGACCCCUCGUCGCGCUCCUACCGCUCCUCCUCUCCUCCAGCUCGCACUCCAUGGCCGCGCUGAGCUGCGAGGUGGUGGGUGCGGCGGCGCUGCAGUCCAUGGAGGCCGGCGAGGCGCUGACGUCCAACGGCAGGGUCGCCAGUGGCUUGGCGCGGGCGUUGGGGAGUGGCAGCCAGCGUGGUGGCGGAGUAUGUGGAUCCGGUGAGAAAGCAGGUUCAAGGUACAGACUGAUGCGGGAGAGCUGCAGCAGCAUCUGUAUGACGCUGCUGAGAAGACCCACCUGGGGGGUUGAUGCACAGCCGGAAGGUGUGGACUGUGAACGACCAUAUAAAGAAGGGGCAGGUCUUGGAUCACUAAAAUCGACAACGAAGAUUGCUUGGCAAGAUGACAGUAAUUCAUUUCUUAUUGUGACAUUUACUUUGAACCCAUGUAUUGUUUGUUUGUGUCACAUGCCUACAACCAACCUAGCAGGUGUUCUACCAAGCAAGGAAAUGCAAUGAAGAUACCACCACCAGUCCAUCACUGUUUUUUUACAGCCGAAGGUGACUGUAUGUUUGUUUAUUUCUAGUUUAAGAUGGCCACAUCAGUGUUGUGUUGUGUCAUACAAGUGAUUCACCAAUAUGUUUCUCUUACUUAACUGCUUCUUUACCCGAUAUUCUCGGAGAUGACAAAGAAGCAUUGAUCUGACAAGUAACACAUACCAGGUCAGUGCACUUUUAAUAAGCAGUGCAUUGAUCUGAAUUGUUGAAGAUGAUAUCUGGAUGUGUCUGUAUAGCAGCUGGUUUGCAAAGUUGAUCAUGGUGCUGCUAUUGGCGGGCACUUUAAGUUUUCUCUUUUCUUCCACGCUAUAUUAAUGCAGACACUCAAUCUCUGGCGGACGGAGUGUCUGUGCGUGAGCAGCGAGACGGCGGCUAAGGCUAGCGUGGAAGAGGGGUGAUCGACGCUGACUAGCGCAGCCGGUGGGCGCUGUGCUCUUCAACCACUCAGAGGCGGACUUCUCCAUGAAGCUGGUGGCCAUGUCGCGUAGAUGAUUGUCCAGGUGAUUUCGACGCCAGAGGUCGCCUAGGUGGAGGACCUCGACGCCACCGUUCGGGGGGAGGGAGGAUUCGGGUCCACCGGCGUCUAAGCUCCGAGCCUUGGUAGAUACAUCUAGAGAAGUUGUCUGUUUAGGUUGGUGGAUGGAACACCAGGGAAGGUACCCACCUUUCGAUGAUCAUUGUGUGUGUCUGAUGUUAAAUGGAAUCUUGAGAAUGUUAUGUGACGUUGGUUUGGUUUGCACUGGGCGUAUUGCCAUCCAUGAAUAUUACAUCUAACUUUUAUU